AUGUAUUUUUUCUUCAAGAGAGACGAACCAGUGUCAGGCAGGCAGCCAGGCUUCAGACCCUGCUGCUGCCCGAGAACUGGGGCCUCGUGCCCGCUUCCCCUCAUGCCUCCAGUGCAGAACUGGAAUACCGCAUGGCAGAGACUGAUGGGAGCGAAGGAGAGGUUGUGCCCAACUCCUGGCCUUGCUCCUUGCUGCCGCACGAAGACUUGGACACAUCACGAAAGUUCUUGACUCUAUUUCCUCAUCUGUGAAAUGGGGAUGUUAACUACCCUCUUAUGGCGCUCUCAAGAAAGUCAAAUGGAACAGUGUUUUCCAAAGUAGGAAAUAUUCAGUUGUUUUUGAAAGCACCUAAGAGGUCAAGUAAGAAAAGGCAAAGGAGAGAGGAUUAAGAUGGUGGAAUAGAAGGACUGGAGCUCAACUUCUCUCCUAAAAACAACAAAAUUCACAACUAAAGGCUGAGAAGUCUCCACCUAAAUGGACCAGAAACCUUAAAAAAGAUACCCUACUCCAGAAGAAAAAGAGGAGGCCACAUCAAGAGGAAGGAGGAGCGAUUUCGUGAUAUAGACAACCCCAUACCUCCUGGGUGGGAAGCUCCACAGACUGGAAACUAACUGGUUCACAGAGACUCACCUGCAGGAGUGAGAGCUCUGAGCCCCACAUCAAACCCUCACGUUGUGGGGAUCUGGCACUGAGAGAAAGAGCCCCUGGAGCAUCUGGCAUUGAAGGCCAGUGGAGCUUGUGCACAGGAGCUCCACAGGACUGGGGGAAACGGAGACCCCAUUCUUAAAAGGCACACAUGGACUUUCACGUGCACUGGGUCCCAGGGCAGAGUGAGGUCUCCAUAGGAAUCUGGGUCAAACCUGACUGCAGUUCUUGGAGGACCUCCUGGGAAAACAGGGGUGAAUGUGGCUUGUUGUGAGGGACGGACAUUGAAAGCAAAGCUCUCAGGAAUAUUCAGCAGUGUGGCUUUCUCUGGAGGUGGCCAUUUUGGGANNNNNNNNNNNNNNNNNNNNNNNNNNUAAAAAUGAAAAGACAGAGAACUAUAACUCAGAUGAGGGAGAAAGGAAAAACCCCAGAAAAUCAGCUAAGCAAUGAGGAGAUUCUCAGCCUCUAGAAAAAAGACUUUAGAUUGUUGAUGCUGAAGACGAUGAAAGACAUUGGAAAUAAACUGGAGGCAAAGAUGGAUAA
This 1188-nucleotide long non-coding RNA is filed under the name Sus scrofa (pig). RNAcentral's name for it is "lncRNA (ENSSSCG00040028330.1)". Lineage: Eukaryota; Metazoa; Chordata; Mammalia; Artiodactyla; Suidae. The record is from RNAcentral.